AGGGCGGCAUGCUUACCAUGCAGUCGAACGGUGAAGCAGAGCUUGCUCUGUGGAUCAGUGGCGAACGGGUGAGUAACACGUGAGCAACCUGCCCCUGACUCUGGGAUAAGCGCUGGAAACGGCGUCUAAUACUGGAUAUGAGCUGCGAUCGCAUGGUCAGCAGUUGGAAAGAUUUUUCGGUCUGGGAUGGGCUCACGGCCUAUCAGCUUGUUGGUGAGGUAAUGGCUCACCAAGGCGUCGACGGGUAGCCGGCCUGAGAGGGUGACCGGCCACACUGGGACUGAGACACGGCCCAGACUCCUACGGGAGGCAGCAGUGGGGAAUAUUGCACAAUGGGCGAAAGCCUGAUGCAGCAACGCCGCGUGAGGGAUGACGGCCUUCGGGUUGUAAACCUCUUUUAGCAGGGAAGAAGCGAAAGUGACGGUACCUGCAGAAAAAGCGCCGGCUAACUACGUGCCAGCAGCCGCGGUAAUACGUAGGGCGCAAGCGUUAUCCGGAAUUAUUGGGCGUAAAGAGCUCGUAGGCGGUUUGUCGCGUCUGCUGUGAAAUCCCGAGGCUCAACCUCGGGUCUGCAGUGGGUACGGGCAGACUAGAGUGCGGUAGGGGAGAUUGGAAUUCCUGGUGUAGCGGUGGAAUGCGCAGAUAUCAGGAGGAACACCGAUGGCGAAGGCAGAUCUCUGGGCCGUUACUGACGCUGAGGAGCGAAAGGGUGGGGAGCAAACAGGCUUAGAUACCCUGGUAGUCCACCCCGUAAACGUUGGGAACUAGUUGUGGGGUCCAUUCCACGGAUUCCGUGACGCAGCUAACGCAUUAAGUUCCCCGCCUGGGGAGUACGGCCGCAAGGCUAAACUCAGAGAUAUGUAUAUGA
RNAcentral lists this ribosomal RNA (868 nucleotides) under Actinobacteridae bacterium F1H1H05. RNAcentral describes it as "bacterial SSU rRNA". It matches the Rfam family "Bacterial small subunit ribosomal RNA", at positions 36 to 918 of the family's 1533-position model. Lineage: Bacteria; Bacillati; Actinomycetota; Actinomycetes. The record is from RNAcentral.